RNAcentral lists this unclassified non-coding RNA (374 nucleotides) under uncultured bacterium. RNAcentral describes it as "contains 16S-23S intergenic spacer region". The record is from RNAcentral.
UCCGGCUUAUCACCGGCGGUUUCUUUAGAGUGCCCAACUAAAUGAUGGCAACUAAAGACGAGGGUUGCGCUCGUUGCGGGACUUAACCCAACAUCUCACGACACGAGCUGACGACAGCCAUGCACCACCUGUAUAGCGCCCAAAAGGACCUUAUAUCUCUAUAAGUUUUCGCUAUAUGUCAAACCUAGGUAAGGUUCUUCGCGUUGCAUCGAAUUAAUCAGCAUGCUCCACCGCUUGUGCGGGCCCCCGUCAAUUCCUUUGAGUUUCAACCUUGCGGUCGUACUCCCCAGGCGGGGUACUUCCUGCGUUAGCGUCGGCACUCAGAGGGUCGCUCCCCCAAGCACCUAGUGCCCAUCGUUUACGGCGUGGACUAC